GGAUAUGAGGGCAAUCUGGCUGUGACUUCUAUCACCCCACUGGUGGCCAGGAUGGAGUCAGCUGACCUGGAUGGCUAGACUGUACAUCUCUUUCCUCCCUCACCACAACAUGUGCCCCCUUCCUGAAGCAUGCUUGGUUUAAAGAGGAAGCCUUCCCAGAAUAAAGGAGGAACCCCCCCAAAAAAGUUCUCAAAAGACUGAUAAAUUUGAUUUCCUUAUUAUAUGUGUGUGUGUUUAUACAUACAUACAUACAUA
This 255-nucleotide small RNA is filed under the name Microtus ochrogaster (prairie vole). RNAcentral's name for it is "7SK RNA (ENSMOCG00000005347.1)". The stretch from base 1 to 181 matches the Rfam family "7SK RNA". From Rfam's summary of the family: 7SK was discovered as an abundant small nuclear RNA in the mid-70s but a possible function has only recently been suggested. Two independent studies have found that 7SK RNA binds the CDK9/cyclin T complex (known as elongation factor P-TEFb). P-TEFb activates transcription by phosphorylating the C-terminal domain of RNA polymerase II. Lineage: Eukaryota; Metazoa; Chordata; Mammalia; Rodentia; Cricetidae. The record is from RNAcentral.